This is a long non-coding RNA of Mus musculus (house mouse), 1720 nucleotides long. RefSeq annotates it as predicted gene, 46736. The record is from RefSeq and is a predicted model, not a curated record. NCBI's taxonomy places the organism in Eukaryota, Metazoa, Chordata, Mammalia, Rodentia, Muridae. The transcript has 3 exons.
CAGAGAUGGACUUGUGGUACCCAGCUUUGAGUGAGAAGUAUCUCUGCGUUGCCUCCACACCAGUAAAAACACCAGGUCUCCUGUCCUGAGUUAAAGAACUGCACAUAAUUAAGUGGGGGAAAGGGACAACAGAAAAGCUCCUUCAAUGGGAGGGUGCUACUGGACUUCGAUGGUUGUAAAUUGUGGGUAGAGAGAAAAUCUUUGUAAAUUGAGGAGUGAGAAAGAGGGAACAACCUCUUCUAAAUUGAAAGAGAAAAUAGGCUUGUUUGGGAAGACGAAUAGAAACCUAUUUCUUGUUCAGGAAAAGGGGAUGAAAUGGGAUGAUUCCUCUAAAGAGACAUCAGGAAAUGAUGUUUAGAGACUGAAAGAGGAUAGUGAGAGAGAAUUCCUUAAAAGAAAUGGAUACUAGAACUCCGUAUCCAAAAGCCAGACUCUCCUCGCCCAGGACUGGAAGACUGAGCGUUGAGAGAAGAAAGCAGAACUCAAAUGAGCCCCGGAGCAGGAGACCUGUGGAGAAGCAAGCAGCAGGCAGAAAGGUCUAUAGAGUUCUGGAGCUCUUCUGUGCCAGCAGCAGCUUCAAAACCGGGAUCAGUCUGUCAUCUUCUGAUCCUCAUGUCCAGAGGCAGCAAGGGUCUUUCUAACCCUCAGCUUCUUCUGAUUUUUGGAAUCCAGAUUUGGUUUUUGGAUGUUCAUCAAGAGGCUGGCUCCGUGAAUUUUAAUUAAGCUGUCUCCCCCCCCCCAUUUAUUACUAAUACACUCCUCUUAACUAUGAUUUAUUUGUUAAACAAAGCACCAUAAGCCGUCACUUAUUCAUCUUAAUUUCAACAAAAUUAAAGUAGUCGCUGUUAGAUUGCACCUAAUUGCACUUGCAAUGAAAAGAACGGAGAUGUUAAUCAAAAUAAAUUGAAGAUAAACAAUAAAAUCAUUACAUCUUGCGACGGUAAGUGUAACUAAUCAGUUUUGACUCGAAGCGACUGAACAGGAAUAAUGAAUGUGCCACCGAAGGCUGGUUCAUUAAGAGAAGCCACAGAGACCUGGUCCUUGGGGCAACAGACAGACACCCUGCCAAUGUGGCCCUAAGGGUUCUUGCCCCCUGGUUGGGCAAAGGGGCUCUAAGGAGCAAUGGGAGCUAGUGGGUAGCUCUCAGGAGGGAUGUCAUGGGUAGAAGGGCUCAGAAGCUGCCCUGCCACAGAAGGAUUCUCUCAUUCUGUUAAGGCAGCAAGAAAUCCCGUGCUCAUUCCUGGACAUGCCAGGUAACCAUGAAAAGAGCAAGUUGAGUUGAGAGACAGACAGACAACAGCUCUGCCAAGGACACAGAGAAAGACACACCCCAGGGGAUGUAGUAGAGAAGAAGGACAGGCAGAUGGAGUCUAGGAGAAAGAAAGAAAUGGAAAUAGAAAGGACCAUGAGAAGAAAGAGAAACUGAGGCAUCCCCUGUACUCCCUGGGAGUGAGGGGAGGAAAGAAGCAGGUGGCUCUGCACAAAUGGAGGCAAAUGGAGACAGAGCUCAGGAAGUCUCAAAAUCCCAGAGUCCUCAGGAGUCCAGGCAGGCACCUGACUUCUGGGGAUGAGACCACAGAGGGAUGCUAAGGAUCCCUAAGUGAAGAGACAGGAGCAUAUACCUCACAGAGGCCCUAUACUGGGGCCUUUCCUCAAGGCAUGUGGAUAUGACAGCAGAACCAGAGAGAGGCCAGCUUGCAUUGAAAACCCCCUAUGUUGC